RNAcentral lists this transfer RNA (74 nucleotides) under Rubrivirga marina. It matches the Rfam family "tRNA". Rfam says of the family: Transfer RNA (tRNA) molecules are approximately 80 nucleotides in length. Their secondary structure includes four short double-helical elements and three loops (D, anti-codon, and T loops). Further hydrogen bonds mediate the characteristic L-shaped molecular structure. tRNAs have two regions of fundamental functional importance: the anti-codon, which is responsible for specific mRNA codon recognition, and the 3' end, to which the tRNAs corresponding amino acid is attached (by aminoacyl-tRNA synthetases). tRNAs cope with the degeneracy of the genetic code in two manners: having more than one tRNA (with a specific anti-codon) for a particular amino acid; and 'wobble' base-pairing, i.e. permitting non-standard base-pairing at the 3rd anti-codon position. Lineage: Bacteria; Pseudomonadati; Rhodothermota; Rhodothermia; Rhodothermales; Rubricoccaceae. The record is from Rfam by way of RNAcentral. RNAcentral also lists the same sequence under 4 other names.
GGGCGGUUAGCUCAGUUGGUUAGAGCAUCUCGUUUACACCGAGAGGGUCGGGGGUUCGAGUCCCUCACCGCCCA